Molecule: ribosomal RNA, 244 nt
Filed under: uncultured Staphylococcus sp.
Lineage: Bacteria; Bacillati; Bacillota; Bacilli; Caryophanales; Staphylococcaceae
Description: partial 16S ribosomal RNA
Rfam family: Bacterial small subunit ribosomal RNA
Source: RNAcentral
CGGCGGACGGGUGAGUAACACGUGGAUAACCUACCUAUAAGACUGGGAUAACUUCGGGAAACCGGAGCUAAUACCGGAUAAUAUUUUGAACCGCAUGGUUCAAAAGUAAAAGACGGUCUUGCUGUCACUUAUAGAUGGAUCCGCGCUGCAUUAGCUAGUUGGUAAGGUAACGGCUUACCAAGGCAACGAUACAUAGCCGACCUGAGAGGGUGAUCGGCCACACUGGAACUGAGACACGGUCCAG